RNAcentral lists this transfer RNA (72 nucleotides) under Camelus bactrianus (Bactrian camel). It matches the Rfam family "tRNA". Rfam says of the family: Transfer RNA (tRNA) molecules are approximately 80 nucleotides in length. Their secondary structure includes four short double-helical elements and three loops (D, anti-codon, and T loops). RNAcentral also lists the same sequence under 2 other names. The record is from Rfam by way of RNAcentral. Lineage: Eukaryota; Metazoa; Chordata; Mammalia; Artiodactyla; Camelidae.
GAGGGUAUAGCUCAGUGAUAGAGCACAUGCUUAGCAUGCACGAGGUCCUGGGUUCAAUUCCCAGUACCUCCA